GUAGGUGCGAGCGUUAAUCGGAAUUACUGGGCGUAAAAGCGUGCGCAGGCGGUUUGGUAAGACAGAUGUGAAAUCCCCGGGCUUAACCUGGGAACGGCGUUUGUGACUGCCAAGCUAGAGUACAGCAGAGGGGGGUGGAAUUCCUGGUGUAGCAGUAAAAUGCGUAGAGAUCAGGAGGAACACCGAUGGCGAAGGCAGCCCCCUGGGUUGAUACUGACGCUCAUGCACGAAAGCGUGGGGAGCAAACAGGAUUAGAUACCCUGGUAGUCCACGCCCUAAACGAUGCCAACUGGGUGUUGGGGAAGGAGACUUCCUUAGUACCGAACKAACGCGUGAAGUUGGCCGCC
RNAcentral lists this ribosomal RNA (347 nucleotides) under uncultured bacterium. Its description in RNAcentral is "bacterial SSU rRNA". It matches the Rfam family "Bacterial small subunit ribosomal RNA", at positions 528 to 873 of the family's 1533-position model. The record is from RNAcentral.